AACGUUUCUUAUAUUCAUCUAUAAGCUUCUUGAGCUUCUCGGGUGGCAUUUUCUCUCACACUUCUUUUGCAAUAUGCUCAAGCUCUUGUACAUUUGCAGGGUUCCUUUCUCCAAUGGCAGAUUUCAGAUUUCAGCUCCACCCAAAGAUUUUCAAUUGGAUUGAGAUCAGGACUCAUUGCUGGCCAUUUUAAAACAGUGUGCUUUGGGUCGUUGUCUUGCUGGAGGACCCAGGAUCUUCGCCGCAAACCAAGUUUCCUUACACUGGGCAAGACAUUUCGCUCUAGAAUUGCUUGAUAAUCUUCUGAUUUCAUGAUGCCUGUGAUACGGUCAAGGCCUCCAGUACCAGAUGCUGCAAAGCAGCCCCACAGCAUUAUGGAUCCUCCACCAUGCUUGACUGUUGGUAUGGUGUUCUUUUUGUUAAAGGCUUCAUUGCGCCGUCUGUAAACAUAUUGUUUGUGUGAUUUACCGAAAAGCUCCACUUUUGUUUCAUCUGUUUAUAAAACGUUGUCCCAGAAGGAUUGAGGUUUGUCCAGGUUCUCUUUUGCGAAGAUCAAACAUUCUUUUUUAUGUCUUUUCUUCAGCAAUGGAGUCUUCCUUGGCCUCCGCCCAUAAAGCCCCACUUUGUUUAGUGUGCGGCGUAUGGUACUUGUUGA
Poecilia latipinna (sailfin molly) is the source of this 653-nucleotide long non-coding RNA. RefSeq lists it as uncharacterized. Lineage: Eukaryota; Metazoa; Chordata; Actinopteri; Cyprinodontiformes; Poeciliidae. The transcript has 2 exons. The record is from RefSeq and is a predicted model, not a curated record.